This 256-nucleotide ribosomal RNA is filed under the name uncultured bacterium. Its description in RNAcentral is "partial 16S ribosomal RNA". It matches the Rfam family "Bacterial small subunit ribosomal RNA", at positions 94 to 353 of the family's 1533-position model. The record is from RNAcentral.
AGUGGCGGACGGGUGAGUAAUGUCUGGGAAACUGCCUGAUGGAGGGGGAUAACUACUGGAAACGGUAGCUAAUACCGCAUAACGUCGCAAGACCAAAGAGGGGGACCUUCGGGCCUCUUGCCAUCGGAUGUGCCCAGAUGGGAUUAGCUGUGGUGGGGUAACGGCUCACCUAGGCGACGAUCCCUAGCUGGUCUGAGAGGAUGACCAGCCACACUGGAACUGAGACACGGUCCAGACUCCUACGGGAGGCAGCAUG